This 41-nucleotide transfer RNA is filed under the name Carabus hispanus. RNAcentral's name for it is "partial tRNA-Leu". The record is from RNAcentral. Lineage: Eukaryota; Metazoa; Arthropoda; Insecta; Coleoptera; Carabidae.
AUUUAAGCUUCAUAUAUAAAGUAUCGCCACUUUUAUUAGAA